ACACCUCAACUCUCAUGGUUUGCCCAUGACGAGCUUGGACUCUGGGGGAUUUGCUGGCCUGUGGUCAGCUCCCCUCAAACGAAUCAGCUUUCCAGUGUUUGGUGGCAUCAUGGGUGUGAUAAAUAUCUACGCUUGUGGUUUCCUGCCAGGUAACCUUCAGUAAUGGGGGUUCGCUGGGGCUCAUAAACGUCUCUCCUCAGUGAAGACAGCUUUGUGAAC
Molecule: unclassified non-coding RNA, 219 nt
Filed under: uncultured Tomentella
Lineage: Eukaryota; Fungi; Basidiomycota; Agaricomycetes; Thelephorales; Thelephoraceae
Description: sequence contains ITS2
Source: RNAcentral